UACGUAGGGGGCUAGCGUUGUCCGGAAUCAUUGGGCGUAAAGCGCGCGUAGGCGGCCCGGUAAGUCCGCUGUGAAAGUCAAAGGCUCAACCUUUGAAUGUCAGCGGAUACUGCCGGGCUAGAGUCCGGAAGAGGCGAGUGGAACUCCUGGUGUAGCGGUGGAAUGCGCAGAUAUCAGGAGGAACACCGGUGGCGAAGGCGGAUCUCUGGGCCUUGCCUGACGCUGAGGCGCGAAAGCUAGGGGAGCGAACAGG
RNAcentral lists this ribosomal RNA (253 nucleotides) under uncultured bacterium. RNAcentral describes it as "partial 16S ribosomal RNA". It matches the Rfam family "Bacterial small subunit ribosomal RNA", at positions 524 to 776 of the family's 1533-position model. The record is from RNAcentral.